Molecule: non-coding RNA, 141 nt
Filed under: Selenihalanaerobacter shriftii
Lineage: Bacteria; Bacillati; Bacillota; Clostridia; Halanaerobiales; Halobacteroidaceae
Description: FMN sequence
Rfam family: FMN riboswitch aptamer (RFN element)
About the family: The RFN element is a highly conserved domain that is found frequently in the 5'-untranslated regions of prokaryotic mRNAs that encode for flavin mononucleotide (FMN) biosynthesis and transport proteins. This element is a metabolite-dependent riboswitch that directly binds FMN in the absence of proteins. In Bacillus subtilis, the riboswitch most likely controls gene expression by causing premature transcription termination within the 5' untranslated region of the ribDEAHT operon and precluding access to the ribosome-binding site of ypaA mRNA.
Source: Rfam by way of RNAcentral
AAUUAACUUCGGGAUUAGGUGAAAUUCCUAACCGGCGGUGAUAUCUCUCUUGCGAGGUUUAGCCCGCUAGCUGUUAAGAUUAACAGUUGAUUUGGUAAGAAUCCAAAGCCGACAGUAAAGUCUGGAAGAGAGAAGUAGAUU